RNAcentral lists this ribosomal RNA (664 nucleotides) under uncultured Lachnospiraceae bacterium. Its description in RNAcentral is "bacterial SSU rRNA". It matches the Rfam family "Bacterial small subunit ribosomal RNA", at positions 64 to 726 of the family's 1533-position model. Lineage: Bacteria; Bacillati; Bacillota; Clostridia; Lachnospirales; Lachnospiraceae. The record is from RNAcentral.
GAACGGAACUUCUUCGACAGAAUUCUUCGGAAGGAAGUUGAUUAAGUUUAGUGGCGGACGGGUGAGUAACGCGUGAGUAACCUGCCUUUGAGAGGGGAAUAAUUUCCCGAAAGGGAUGCUAAUACCGCAUGAUGCAUAGAAGUCGCAUGGCUUUUAUGCCAAAGAUUUAUCGCUCAAAGAUGGACUCGCGUCCGAUUAGCCAGUUGGCGGGGUAACGGCCCACCAAAGCGACGAUCGGUAGCCGGACUGAGAGGUUGAACGGCCACAUUGGGACUGAGACACGGCCCAGACUCCUACGGGAGGCAGCAGUGGGGGAUAUUGCGCAAUGGGGGAAACCCUGACGCAGCAACGCCGCGUGAAGGAUGAAGGUUUUCGGAUUGUAAACUUCUUUUAUUUAGGACGAAGAAUGACGGUACUAAAUGAAUAAGCUCCGGCUAACUACGUGCCAGCAGCCGCGGUAAUACGUAGGGAGCAAGCGUUAUCCGGAUUUACUGGGUGUAAAGGGUGCGUAGGCGGCUUGGUAAGUCAGAUGUGAAAUGUAUGGGCUCAACCCAUGCACUGCAUUUGAAACUAUUGAGCUUGAGUGAAGUAGAGGCAGGCGGAAUUCCCUGUGUAGCGGUGAAAUGCGUAGAGAUAGGGAGGAACACCAGUGGCGAAGGCGGCC